This 773-nucleotide ribosomal RNA is filed under the name uncultured bacterium. Its description in RNAcentral is "bacterial SSU rRNA". It matches the Rfam family "Bacterial small subunit ribosomal RNA", at positions 556 to 1332 of the family's 1533-position model. The record is from RNAcentral.
GGGCGUAAAGAGCUCGUAGGUGGUUCGUCACGUCGGAUGUGAAAAUCUGGGGCUUAACCCCAGACCUGCAUUCGAUACGGGCGAGCUUGAGUAUGGUAGGGGAGUCUGGAAUUCCUGGUGUAGCGGUGGAAUGCGCAGAUAUCAGGAGGAACACCAAUGGCGAAGGCAGGACUCUGGGCCAUUACUGACACUGAGGAGCGAAAGCGUGGGGAGCGAACAGGAUUAGAUACCCUGGUAGUCCACGCCGUAAACGGUGGGCACUAGUUGUGGGGACCUUCCACGGUCUCUGCGACGCAGCUAACGCAUUAAGUGCCCCGCCUGGGGAGUACGAUCGCAAGAUUAAAACUCAAAGGAAUUGACGGGGCCCCGCACAAGCAGCGGAGCAUGCGGCUUAAUUCGACGCAACGCGAAGAACCUUACCAAGGCUUGACAUAUACAGGAAUAUGGCAGAGAUGUCAUAGCCGCAAGGUCUGUAUACAGGUGGUGCAUGGUUGUCGUCAGCUCGUGUCGUGAGAUGUUGGGUUAAGUCCCGCAACGAGCGCAACCCUCGUUCUGUGUUGCCAGCAUUAAGUUGGGGACUCACAGGAGACUGCCGGGGUUAACUCGGAGGAAGGUGGGGAUGACGUCAAAUCAUCAUGCCCCUUAUGUCUUGGGCUGCACGCAUGCUACAAUGGCUGGUACAAACGGCUGCGAUACCGCAAGGUGGAGCGAAUCCGAUAAAGCCAGUCUCAGUUCGGAUUGGGGUCUGCAAUUCGACCCCAUGAAGUCGGAGU